RNAcentral lists this ribosomal RNA (467 nucleotides) under uncultured bacterium. RNAcentral's name for it is "partial 16S ribosomal RNA". It matches the Rfam family "Bacterial small subunit ribosomal RNA", at positions 28 to 507 of the family's 1533-position model. The record is from RNAcentral.
GACGAACGCUGGCGGCGUGCUUAACACAUGCAAGUCGAACGAUGAAGCCCAGCUUGCUGGGUGGAAGAGUGGCGAACGGGUGAGUAACACGUGAGUAACCUGCCCUGAACUCUGGGAUAAGCACUGGAAACGGUGUCUAAUACUGGAUACGACCUAUCGCCGCAUGGUGUGUGGGUGGAAAGAUUUAUCGGUUCUGGAUGGACUCGCGGCCUAUCAGCUAGAUGGUGAGGUAAUGGCUCACCAUGGCGACGACGGGUAGCCGGCCUGAGAGGGUGACCGGCCACACUGGGACUGAGACACGGCCCAGACUCCUACGGGAGGCAGCAGUGGGGAAUAUUGCACAAUGGGCGCAAGCCUGAUGCAGCAACGCCGCGUGAGGGAUGACGGCCUUCGGGUUGUAAACCUCUUUUAGUAGGGAAGAAGCGAAAGUGACGGUACCUGCAGAAAAAGCACCGGCUAACUACGUG